Non-coding RNA from Podarcis lilfordi (Lilford's wall lizard), 78 nucleotides. The record is from the annotation of a GenBank genome assembly. NCBI's taxonomy places the organism in Eukaryota, Metazoa, Chordata, Lepidosauria, Squamata, Lacertidae.
GCCAUAGUUCAGUGGUAGAGCAUCAGCUUUAUAUGCCGAAGGUCCCAAGUUCAAUCUCCAGUAUCUCUAGGUAGGACU